This is a long non-coding RNA of Bombus terrestris (buff-tailed bumblebee), 970 nucleotides long. RefSeq lists it as uncharacterized. Lineage: Eukaryota; Metazoa; Arthropoda; Insecta; Hymenoptera; Apidae. The record is from RefSeq and is a predicted model, not a curated record. The transcript is spliced from 2 exons.
GACGCUUCGAUCAGUUAACGCGACUGCUCGUGACUGAUAAAGCAGACACGUCGAGAGUAAAGCCUUCUCAAUGCACGUUCGAUUUAGUUUUAUUCGUUAAAUAUACCGUAUUUUAAUAUAGAUAUCACUGGUACAGUCUACGAGCGUUUACAAUUGAAGACCAUAGGAGACAAACAUGAUAUAUACUAAGUUCCUAUGCAUUCAUGGGAUAUUUAAAAAUGCAAGAAUGUCAAUGUGGACAUUCCUGACCGAAAUACAGAAACAAAAAAUCAACGAAUCGAAUGAAGCGUCGUAGGAGAAGCGUGCGAUUCUUCGUGUCUGACCAUGACCUGGAAAAAUCUACUUGCUUCAGUUCCGCAAGGAAAUGGGAUUGCGACGGAAUUGGAAAUUUCAGGGGAAAUGGGACCUAGAUUUUUGAUACGUCGGAAAAAUUGUGCUGGUUCAUUUUCUUUCAAAUGUUAACCUUAAUUCAGAAGCUAUCGCUGUUUCUCAAAUUACUUUUUGUAUUUUUCCUUUUCGCUCUUCUUCGAUAUCAAGUGACCUAAAAGUUGGAUACCUAAGUAUGAGGAGGUUGUAGAUUUUAGAUUUCAUUUUAUUUGUACAUUAUAUUAUUUUCCUUUAUUGUCAUUUCAUUGUACUAUAUGCAAAUCAUUUCUUUAUAACCGCAUUUUACCUUAAUUAAAUAUUUUCAGAGUAGGUUGCGCGUUAUCUAAACAUCUAAUUUUUAAAUUACUCUGAGUGCAUCUAAGUAAUUAAAUAACUAAAGUUAUUACUUGACUCAUUUUAGAUUAGUUUCUAACUAGCAGAUAAGUAUUCAAUUAAUUUAUAUAGUAUAUAUAAGGCUAGUUUUCCAAUUUUCUAUUCAAAGUCAAAAAUUGUAAAUUGUUUCACCGCCAAACAAUCAAAACUCCGCCGGUAGAUUCCGCAAUUUAUUAAAAUAUACCUAGAAAUAAAAAAAGAGGAAGAACGA